This 406-nucleotide ribosomal RNA is filed under the name uncultured bacterium. RNAcentral's name for it is "partial 16S ribosomal RNA". It matches the Rfam family "Bacterial small subunit ribosomal RNA", at positions 29 to 526 of the family's 1533-position model. The record is from RNAcentral.
AUUGAACGCUGGCGGCAGGCCUAACACAUGCAAGUCGAACGAGUGGCGGACGGGUGAGUAAUGUCUGGGAAACUGCCUGAUGGAGGGGGAUAACUACUGGAAACGGUAGCUAAUACCGCAUACCAUCAGAUGUGCCCAGAUGGGAUUAGAUAGGUGGUGGGGUAACGGCUCACCAAGGCGACGAUCCCUAGCUGGUCUGAGAGGAUGACAAGGCACACCGGAACUGAGACACGGUCCAGACUCCUACGGGAGGCAGCAGAGGAGAAAAGUGCACAAUGGGCGCAAGCCUGAUACGGCCAUGCCGCGUGUAUGGAGAAGGCCUUCGGGUUGUAAAGUACUUUCAGCGGGGAGGCGUUACCCGCAGAAGAAGCACCGGCUAACUCCGUGCCAGCAGCCGCGGUAAUUC